AACUCAAAGGAAUUGACGGGGACCCGCACAAGCGGUGGAUGAUGUGGUUUAAUUCGAUGCAACGCGAAAAACCUUACCCACCUUUGACAUGUACGGAACUCGCCAGAGAUGGCUUGGUGCUCGAAAGAGAGCCGUAACACAGGUGCUGCAUGGCUGUCGUCAGCUCGUGUCGUGAGAUGUUGGGUUAAGUCCCGCAACGAGCGCAACCCUUGCCAUUAGUUGCUACGAAAGGGCACUCUAAUGGGACUGCCGGUGACAAACCGGAGGAAGGUGGGGAUGACGUCAAGUCCUCAUGGCCCUUAUAGGUGGGGCUACACACGUCAUACAAUGGCUGGUACAAAGGGUUGCCAACCCGCGAGGGGGAGCUAAUCCCACAAAGCCAGUCGUAGUCCGGAUCGCAGUCUGCAACUCGACUGCGUGAAGUCGGAAUCGCUAGUAAUCGUGGAUCAGAAUGUCACGGUGAAUACGUUCCCGGGUCUUGUACACACCGCCCGUCACACCAUGGGAGCGGGUUCUGCCAGAAGUAGUUAGCCUAACCGCAAGGAGGGCGAUUACCACGGCAGGGUUCGUGACUGGGGUGAAGUCGUAACAAGGUAGCCGUAUCGGAAGGUGCGGC
This 616-nucleotide ribosomal RNA is filed under the name uncultured Variovorax sp. RNAcentral's name for it is "bacterial SSU rRNA". It matches the Rfam family "Bacterial small subunit ribosomal RNA", at positions 898 to 1518 of the family's 1533-position model. The record is from RNAcentral. Lineage: Bacteria; Pseudomonadati; Pseudomonadota; Betaproteobacteria; Burkholderiales; Comamonadaceae.